UACGAAGGGUGCAAACGUUGCUCGGAAUUAUUGGGCGUAAAGCGCACGUAGGCGGGUUCAAAAGUCGGAUGUGAAAUCCCUCGGCUCAACCAAGGAAGUGCAUCCGAAACUGUGAAUCUUGAGUACCAAAGAGGAUCGCGGAAUUCCCGGUGUAGAGGUGAAAUUCGUAGAUAUCGGGAGGAACACCAGUGGCGAAGGCGGCGAUCUGGGUGGAUACUGACGCUGAGGAGCGAAAGCCAGGGGAGCAAACGGG
Molecule: ribosomal RNA, 253 nt
Filed under: uncultured bacterium
Lineage: Bacteria
Description: partial 16S ribosomal RNA
Rfam family: Bacterial small subunit ribosomal RNA
Source: RNAcentral